GUGGGGAAUAUUGGACAAUGGGCGAAAGCCUGAUCCAGCCAUGCCGCGUGUGUGAAGAAGGUCUUCGGAUUGUAAAGCACUUUAAGUUGGGAGGAAGGGCAGUAAGUUAAUACCUUGCUGUUUUGACGUUACCGACAGAAUAAGCACCGGCUAACUUCGUGCCAGCAGCCGCGGUAAUACGAAGGGUGCAAGCGUUAAUCGGAAUUACUGGGCGUAAAGCGCGCGUAGGUGGUUUUGUAAGUUGGAGGUGAAAUCCCCGGGCUCAACCUGGGAACUGCCUCCAAAACUGCAUGACUAGAGUACGGUAGAGGGUAGUGGAAUUUCCUGUGUAGCGGUGAAAUGCGAAGAUAUAGGAAGGAACACCAGUAGCGAAGGCGACUACCUGGGCUGAUACUGAAACUGAGGUGCGAAAGCGUGGGGAGCAAACAGAAUUAGAAACCCCUGUAGUCC
RNAcentral lists this ribosomal RNA (450 nucleotides) under uncultured bacterium. Its description in RNAcentral is "partial 16S ribosomal RNA". It matches the Rfam family "Bacterial small subunit ribosomal RNA", at positions 354 to 796 of the family's 1533-position model. The record is from RNAcentral.